CGCCACUUACCGCAGCGUUGAGGCGGGAUGCAGCGUGCUCUGAGGCGACCCCGGGCAGGAGGCAAGAUGUGACCUCCUGCACCAAACCUUUGACCUCUAUUCAGGAGCAAUCUCACAACUGAUGGAAGCUGGGACGGAAAGUUGCUGAAAUGUGGUAAGCUACAAUUUCCUCUUUCAACCAUGAUUUCUAUCAGUCUACCACAAUCUACCAGGGUCUAACCACCACACAAUCAUUCGCCCAACAUCCCUCUACCAGUCUACCACAAUUCAACCAUCAGUCAUCAACCGAAAAACUCGACUUGUUCAAAACUUUUUCAACUCUGUAACCCCAAAAUGUCAACCCAAGACCUGACAUUCAACCACGAUUUCUACCACUCCACCACAAUCUACUGGGACCUAACCACCAUAUAUCUUUUCAGGGCAAUGGCUGACUGGAUGGUGCUGUCUGGUCACUCAGCUCAGCAAGGGACUGGAAGCUGGAACACUCUCUCUCUCUCUCUCAAAAAAAUUAUGACUCGUCUCAGCUGGUCUCAUCUGGUCUGCCCCAGCAUUUAGGCAGCAUCUUGAAGGCCUGACUGGUCUCCUCAGCUCAGUGGUCUCGUCUCUGUCUCCUGCCCUGCAAGAGUCUGGCAGAGUUUAGUGCCAAGAGUGUGUGUGUGUGUGUGUGUGUGUGUGUGUGUGUGUGUGUGUGUGUGUGUGUGUGUGUCUCUCUCUCUCUCUCUCUCUCUCUCUCUCUCUCUCUCUCUCUCUCUCUCUCUCUCUCUCUCUCUCAGGCCCCACAGGGUGUCCCCCCCACAGUGUGUUGGCAACCCCCACAGACACAUGCCCCCCCAGACACAUAAGGGAUCCCCCCCCUCUCUCUCUCUCCAAGAAGUGUCAGUUUGCUCAAUAAAUAUACAAGCAAU
Molecule: long non-coding RNA, 905 nt
Organism: Eriocheir sinensis (Chinese mitten crab)
Lineage: Eukaryota; Metazoa; Arthropoda; Malacostraca; Decapoda; Varunidae
Exons: 3
Source: RefSeq, a predicted model, not a curated record